UCAGAUGACAGGAAAUGAUCGCCAUCAUCCUGUUUGUCGAGCAAAGAGGAGGAUGAGGAUGAUGAUGACUGCCUGGUCGCUCCCCGGUUACCUGGCAACGCUAUGACAGGGUCUUCCGUUGCCGUCACGCCUCAUGUCACACAGUUUCCCACAUGUGGCUCACUCUUCUGAGGACUGGGGUUCAGAUCCUGGCUCAGCCUGUGUGUGCUUUCUCCAGGUACUCAGGUUUCCUCCCACAUCCCCACAAACAUGCAUGUUCAGGGUGUGCUUCUCGCAUGACGAUAGCUGGGAUAGGCUUCAGCACAUCUAUGACCCUAAUGAGGAUAAGCAGCUCAGAAAAUGAAAACAGACUUUCUGUUUUUCCAACUUUUUUCUUGUGAG
Molecule: long non-coding RNA, 381 nt
Organism: Syngnathoides biaculeatus (alligator pipefish)
Lineage: Eukaryota; Metazoa; Chordata; Actinopteri; Syngnathiformes; Syngnathidae
Exons: 3
Source: RefSeq, a predicted model, not a curated record